Molecule: non-coding RNA, 260 nt
Organism: Malus domestica (apple)
Lineage: Eukaryota; Viridiplantae; Streptophyta; Magnoliopsida; Rosales; Rosaceae
Source: RefSeq, a predicted model, not a curated record
CUAUUUUUCGAUUGUUAGAUGAAAGAAGGAAGUUCAAUUUAUCAAGGAUCAAGGUUUGGACUACUAGACAGUACACCGCCUUCGGUUUGAGGAGGGCGUUUGAAAUUCUUUCAGGUAGAAAGAAUUGCUGUGAAAUUCUUCCAGUUUUGGCAAGGCACUGCAAUCCUACUUUUGCUCUUCCACUGCCUUCCAGUGGGACAACCAUAUCACAUGCUUGCAUCCCAAUCUCUCCAAUCACAAAUGUUUUCUUUCUCUUUGGG